Molecule: ribosomal RNA, 693 nt
Filed under: uncultured bacterium
Lineage: Bacteria
Description: bacterial SSU rRNA
Rfam family: Bacterial small subunit ribosomal RNA
Source: RNAcentral
AACGCUAGCUACAGGCUUAACACAUGCAAGUCGAGGGGCAGCAUCAUCAAAGCUUGCUUUGAUGGAUGGCGACCGGCGCACGGGUGAGUAACACGUAUCCAACCUGCCGACNACACUGGGAUAGCCUUUCGAAAGAAAGAUUAAUACCGGAUGGCAUAAUUAUUCCGCAUGGGAUAAUUAUUAAAGAAUUUCGGUUGUCGAUGGGGAUGCGUUCCAUUAGGCAGUUGGCGGGGUAACGGCCCACCAAACCAACGAUGGAUAGGGGUUCUGAGAGGAAGGUCCCCCACAUUGGAACUGAGACACGGUCCAAACUCCUACGGGAGGCAGCAGUGAGGAAUAUUGGUCAAUGGACGANAGUCUGAACCAGCCAAGUAGCGUGAAGGAUGAAGGUUCUAUGGAUUGUAAACUGCUUUUAUAAGGGAAUAAACGAAUCCACGCGUGGAUUUUUGCAUGUACCGUAUGAAUAAGGAUCGGCUAACUCCGUGCCAGCAGCCGCGGUAAUACGGAGGAUCCGAGCGUUAUCCGGAUUUAUUGGGUUUAAAGGGAGCGUAGAUGGGUUGUUAAGUCAGUUGUGAAAGUUUGCGGCUCAACCGUAAAAUUGCAAUUGAUACUGGCAGUCUUGAGUACAGUUGAGGUAGGCGGAAUUCGUGGUGUAGCGGUGAAAUGCUUAGAUAUCACGAAGAACUCCGAUUG